This 255-nucleotide ribosomal RNA is filed under the name uncultured bacterium. Its description in RNAcentral is "partial 16S ribosomal RNA". It matches the Rfam family "Bacterial small subunit ribosomal RNA", at positions 526 to 779 of the family's 1533-position model. The record is from RNAcentral.
CGUAGGCGCGAGCGUUGUCCGGAUUAUUGGGCGUAAAGAGCUCGUAGGCGGCUUGUCGCGUCUGCUGUGAAAACGACGGGGCGUUAACUCCGCGCUUGCAGUGGGGUACGGGCAGGCUUGAGUGUAGUAGGGGAGACUGGAAUUCCUGGUGUAGCGGUGGAAUGCGCAGAUAUCAGGAGGAACACCGAUGGCGAAGGCAGGUCUCUGGGCUAUAACUGGCGCUGAGGAGCGAAAGCAUGGGGAGCGAACAGGAUU